GAUGAACGCUGGCGGUGUGCCUAAUACAUGCAAGUCGUGCGGAAAGGCCCUUCGGGGUACUCGAGCGGCGGACGGGUGAGUAAUGCCUAGGAAUCUGCCUAUUAGUGGGGGAUAACUCGGGGAAACUCGGGCUAAUACCGCAUACGUCCUACGGGAGAAAGUGGGGGAUCUUCGGACCUCACGCUAAUAGAUGAGCCUAGGUCGGAUUAGCUAGUUGGUGAGGUAAUGGCUCACCAAGGCGACGAUCCGUAGCUGGUCUGAGAGGAUGAUCAGCCACACUGGAACUGGGACACGGUCCAGACUCCUACGGGAGGCAGCAGUGGGGAAUAUUGGACAAUGGGCGAAAGCCUGAUCCAGCCAUGCCGCGUGUGUGAAGAAGGUCUUCGGAUUGUAAAGCACUUUAAGUUGGGAGGAAGGUCUGUAAGCUAAUAUCUUGCAGUCUUGACGUUACCAACAGAAUAAGCACCGGCUAACUUCGUGCCAGCCGCCGCCGUAA
RNAcentral lists this ribosomal RNA (496 nucleotides) under uncultured bacterium. RNAcentral's name for it is "partial 16S ribosomal RNA". It matches the Rfam family "Bacterial small subunit ribosomal RNA", at positions 28 to 523 of the family's 1533-position model. The record is from RNAcentral.